This is a long non-coding RNA of Pelmatolapia mariae (spotted tilapia), 385 nucleotides long. RefSeq lists it as uncharacterized. The transcript is spliced from 3 exons. NCBI's taxonomy places the organism in Eukaryota, Metazoa, Chordata, Actinopteri, Cichliformes, Cichlidae. The record is from RefSeq and is a predicted model, not a curated record.
CCGCCAUCUCUGCAGCAAUGAAUCUCCUCUAUGUUGUGCCCUUGCACAACAUGGAGGAGCUAAACAAUGCAGAGGCAGCUCUGCAAUCACCAGAGGCAAAUAAGGCAAUGGUGAGACGCUUUGCGUUGAUUGGAGGGACCACACUGGAGGUGCGAGUCCGCCGUGUAAUGGCUUAUGCCAUUACAAACAAGCUGGCCUCUGUACUCAACUGGGCAGGGAAAAAAAACAAGGACUAGACAAAGCAAAAAAGGGCAUUUAAAGAGACAGCGCUGUGCAGAUGCAUAUUUGAUGGCCUGACGCAGCAGGUAGGGGCGAACUAUGUCUGAGUUUGUCUUUGCUCAAGCAGUCCAGAAAUGGCUCAGAUACGCUCCAUAUCGUGUGGGUG